GAGAACUGUGUUUAUGAAACUGUAGUUUUGCCUUUGGAUGAAAGGGCAUUUGAGAAGACUUUAACACCAAUCAUACAGGAAUAUUUUGAGCAUGGAGAUACUAAUGAAGUUGCGGAAAUGUUAAGAGAUUUAAAUCUUGGUGAAAUGAAAAGUGGAGUACCAGUGUUGGCAGUAUCCUUAGCAUUGGAGGGGAAGGCUAGUCAUAGAGAGAUGACAUCUAAGCUUCUUUCUGACCUUUGUGGGACAGUAAUGAGCACAACUGAUGUGGAAAGCGUAAAGAUAGUGUGUGGGGCUCUGGAGGUGGGCAGCAAUCUGUCAAUCACCUUGUUAAAGAGAUUGAUAUGCUGCUGAAAGAAUAUUUACUCUCUGGAGACAUAUCUGAAGCUGAACAUUGCCUUAAGGAGCUGGAAGUACCUCAUUUUCACCAUGAGCUUGUAUAUGAAGCUAUUAUAAUGGUUUUAGAGUCAACUGGAGAAAGUACAUUUAAGAUGAUUUUGGAUUUAUUAAAGUCCCUGUGGAAGUCUUCUACCAUUACUGUAGACCAAAUGAAAAGAGGUUAUGAGAGAAUUUACAAUGAAAUUCCGGACAUUAAUCUGGAUGUCCCACAUUCAUACUCUGUGCUGGAGCGGUUUGUAGAAGAAUGUUUUCAGGCUGGAAUAAUUUCCAAACAACUCAGAGAUCUUUGUCCUUCAAGGGGCAGAAAGCGUUUUGUAAGUGAAGGAGAUGGAGGUCGUCUUAAACCAGAGAGCUACUGAAUAUAAGAACUCUUGCAGUCUUAGAUGUUAUAAA
This 789-nucleotide small RNA is filed under the name Pan troglodytes (chimpanzee). RNAcentral describes it as "processed transcript". Lineage: Eukaryota; Metazoa; Chordata; Mammalia; Primates; Hominidae. The record is from RNAcentral.